AUGCAUUACUUUCCACAUCCGUUAUCACUGAUGGUAAAUCCCUAUGUCCUCACCAUACAAUCUAUCGCAGCACUCCCUGCCACCUCCAAGUCUGUACGAUUUAGGACACCUGCGGCAGAAAAAAUCCAGGGACAAAGGAUUGACCUAUCUGAUUGCGAAGCUACAUCGCCUCUGCCACCAGCUGGUACGCUGCGUAAACGCGCCAUGGAUGCGCAUGAUUCUAUGUCAAACAGCAAGAAAUCAUCAUCGCGAUCAUAUGGCAAUGUGCUCAAUUACUUCAAGUCCACUUUAAUGUCCAUCGCUCAAAUGUGUGCAGACCUUCCAGUAAACACUCCAUUUACUGUCUUUGGACAGUGCUGCACCAAUCUACACAAGCGAAAAUACAUAUUCCAGCAUGGAUUUGCAACCGAUCCAUGGGUGAAUGGUGUUGUACCACAUCUGCCACAUAUGCCAACAACGGACCUUAUUGUCGCCCACUUCACACAGCUGCCAACGCAACACCUGCAGAGUCCACGGUUGAUCUGCGUUACCGGGACAGCGUUGCGCAAACAUCUAGUUAGGAUGCAUCACCUUCACCACGAGCUUGUCUCUAUAAUCACGAGGAGCCAAUCCUCCAAGGUUCUCGAUCAAUGUCUGACCUCUUAUGCAUUCACCUUUUUCUAG
RNAcentral lists this ribosomal RNA (663 nucleotides) under Triticum aestivum (bread wheat). Its description in RNAcentral is "partial small subunit ribosomal RNA". Lineage: Eukaryota; Viridiplantae; Streptophyta; Magnoliopsida; Poales; Poaceae. The record is from RNAcentral.